UAGAACUCAAGUACGGCAUCUCUCGUUAAAAGCACUUCUACCAGACACUAACGGGUAUAUGACUUAUGAGGGUAGUACGACGCACCCAGGCUGUUGGGAAACAGCCGUAUGGCUGAUUCUUAACAAACCUAUCUACAUCACUGCACAGGAACUUUAUGCUUUAAGAAGAUUGAUGCAAGGCACUAUUGAUGUUCCAAAAGCCCCACUAGGAAAUAAUUCUAGACCAUUGCAAGAACUUCGCCAUAGGACUAUACGAACCAACAUUGAUUUUCGUAAGCAGCUGGGUGCUAAGUGUCCAACAAUGACGACGAAUAUGCGAUACAAAGAUUAUUUAUUCCGUAGCUAAUAGAUGGCGGGAUGACAACCCAUUAACUCAUAAUAUCGUUUGAGAAUCUAUUCAGUUUGGUAGAACUUGUGACAAUCGAUGAUUAAAAUUUAUAUCAUCGACACUUUCCAUAUAUAAAGUUGCAGCAAAUGAAAGGAAGAAUAAUGAAUUGAUAGAAACAGCAUAUCAAAAUCAAACUAUGAGAAUAGCAUAAUAAAGGAAGUAAAUGUAACAGUAAUA
This is an RNA transcript of Ceratosolen solmsi marchali, 565 nucleotides long. It is a transcript of the gene named carbonic anhydrase-related protein 10-like, with no coding region annotated. Lineage: Eukaryota; Metazoa; Arthropoda; Insecta; Hymenoptera; Agaonidae. The transcript has 5 exons. The record is from RefSeq and is a predicted model, not a curated record.